UGUCCCCUGCGGUGUUCGUCAGGCUCAUAAUUCUUUGAACCCAUAAGCUUAGGCUUAGGCCGCAACCCUCGAUGUUACUGUUGUGCGCAUCCCUCUGCGGAUGUACCUGAUGUAACUGGGAAGCAGCCCUCUUGAACCCAGGUUCAAGAUAAUGAGUCAACGGCACAGGCGGGGGGCUU
Molecule: non-coding RNA, 179 nt
Filed under: Gallionella sp.
Lineage: Bacteria; Pseudomonadati; Pseudomonadota; Betaproteobacteria; Nitrosomonadales; Gallionellaceae
Description: 6S RNA
Rfam family: 6S / SsrS RNA
About the family: E. coli 6S RNA was the first non coding RNA to be sequenced, but its function was unknown until recently. It consists of 184 nucleotides that fold into an extended hairpin structure with a large single-stranded internal bulge. The 6S RNA specifically associates with RNA polymerase holoenzyme containing the sigma70 specificity factor.
Source: RNAcentral